RNAcentral lists this ribosomal RNA (488 nucleotides) under uncultured bacterium. RNAcentral's name for it is "partial 16S ribosomal RNA". It matches the Rfam family "Bacterial small subunit ribosomal RNA", at positions 28 to 505 of the family's 1533-position model. The record is from RNAcentral.
GAUGAACGCUAGCUACAGGCUUAACACAUGCAAGUCGCGGGGCAGCAUGGGGGUUGCUUGCAAUCCCCGAUGGCGACCGGCGCACGGGUGAGUAACGCGUAUCCAACCUGCCCUUCACCACGGGAUAACCCGGCGAAAGUCGGACUAAUACCGUAUGUUGUCCAUUGACGGCAUCCGAUUUGGACGAAAGGUUUGGCGGUGAAGGAUGGGGAUGCGUCCGAUUAGCUGGACGGCGGGGUGACGGCCCACCGUGGCGACGAUCGGUAGGGGUUCUGAGAGGAAGGUCCCCCACACUGGAACUGAGACACGGUCCAGACUCCUACGGGAGGCAGCAGUGAGGAAUAUUGGUCAAUGGGCGUAAGCCUGAACCAGCCAAGUAGCGUGCAGGAUGACGGCCCUAUGGGUUGUAAACUGCUUUUAUGCGGGGAUAAAGUGGCCCACGUGUGGGUUUUUGCAGGUACCGCAUGAAUAAGGACCGGCUAAUUCCG